This 253-nucleotide ribosomal RNA is filed under the name uncultured bacterium. Its description in RNAcentral is "partial 16S ribosomal RNA". It matches the Rfam family "Bacterial small subunit ribosomal RNA", at positions 524 to 776 of the family's 1533-position model. The record is from RNAcentral.
UACAGAGGGUGCGAGCGUUAAUCGGAAUUACUGGGCGUAAAGCGUGCGUAGGCGGUCGUGUAAGUCGGGUGUGAAAGCCCCGGGCUCAACCUGGGAAUUGCAUUCGAGACUGCACGGCUGGAGUGCGGAAGAGGGAAGCGGAAUUUCCGGUGUAGCGGUGAAAUGCGUAGAUAUCGGAAGGAACAUCAGUGGCGAAAGCGGCUUCCUGGUCCAGCACUGACGCUCAGGCACGAAAGCGCGGGGAGCAAACAGG